This 652-nucleotide ribosomal RNA is filed under the name uncultured Bacillota bacterium. Its description in RNAcentral is "bacterial SSU rRNA". It matches the Rfam family "Bacterial small subunit ribosomal RNA", at positions 59 to 724 of the family's 1533-position model. Lineage: Bacteria; Bacillati; Bacillota. The record is from RNAcentral.
AAGUCGAACGAGCGAGAGAGAGCUUGCUUUCUCGAGCGAGUGGCGAACGGGUGAGUAACGCGUGAGGAACCUGCCUCAAAGAGGGGGACAACAGUUGGAAACGACUGCUAAUACCGCAUAAGCCCACGGGUCGGCAUCGACCAGAGGGAAAAGGAGCAAUCCGCUUUGAGAUGGCCUCGCGUCCGAUUAGCUAGUUGGUGAGGUAACGGCCCACCGAGGCGACGAUCGGUAGCCGGACUGAGAGGUUGAACGGCCACAUUGGGACUGAGACACGGCCCAGACUCCUACGGGAGGCAGCAGUGGGGAAUAUUGCACAAUGGGGGAAACCCUGAUGCAGCGACGCCGCGUGGAGGAAGAAGGUCUUCGGAUUGUAAACUCCUGUUGUUGAGGAAGAUAAUGACGGUACUCAACAAGGAAGUGACGGCUAACUACGUGCCAGCAGCCGCGGUAAAACGUAGGUCACAAGCGUUGUCCGGAAUUACUGGGUGUAAAGGGAGCGCAGGCGGGCAGACAAGUUGGAAGUGAAAUCCAUGGGCUUAACCCAUGAACUGCUUUCAAAACUGUAUGUCUUGAGUAGUGCAGAGGUAGGCGGAAUUCCCGGUGUAGCGGUGGAAUGCGUAGAUAUCGGGAGGAACACCAGUGGCGAAGGCGG